This 401-nucleotide long non-coding RNA is filed under the name Pogona vitticeps (central bearded dragon). RNAcentral describes it as "lncRNA (ENSPVIG00000012057.1)". Lineage: Eukaryota; Metazoa; Chordata; Lepidosauria; Squamata; Agamidae. The record is from RNAcentral.
AGGCCUGCAGGGCAGUGGAGAAUGCACCACCAUGAAGCAGAAUGGUCCGACUGAUCUAUAUAUUUUCUUGUUGCUAAAAGAGAUGGACGAAGAACGGGCCUUCAGGGAAACCUCUCUCUCAGUCAACAACUUCUGUUGAACACAUCUAGAAUAUAGGAAGAUUUCUGCUGCAUCAGAACAAAGGAUGGAUAGGUCCAUCAUCCUGUAUCACAUAGUGGCAAGCCUGAUAACAAUGGGAGGCCACAAACAAUGUGAAAGCAAUAGUGUUCCACAUCAGCAACAGAAUCUGAAGAUGAUGCAAAAACUACAACGAUGGAUAGAGACAUAGAAGCAGGCAGACCUGCUGUGAAAGCCUUCGCGAAUACAAUAAAGCAAGCUGAUGGCUUGGUAGAAGUACUGUA